Neogale vison (American mink) is the source of this 248-nucleotide long non-coding RNA. RefSeq lists it as uncharacterized. The record is from RefSeq and is a predicted model, not a curated record. The transcript has 3 exons. Lineage: Eukaryota; Metazoa; Chordata; Mammalia; Carnivora; Mustelidae.
UGGAUGAGGCGUGUCUUCAGAGCUCUCCUACAUUCUUCUCAACACCAGGCUUCCCACCCUCCAACUUCUCCAGUCGCCUACAGCUCAAUUCAGGGCGCCACUGAAGAGAAGAGAGCGAUUUGGCUUUGAUUCCAGGGUGAUGUUUCACAGAGCGUCAACUCUUGUUCCAGAACAAAGCAAGACCUUGGACUUGGCUGGAGAUGGAUCCUGAGCCUUUUCAUCUUCCAUCCUCUGGAAGUCAACACAGG